UACGUAGGGUGCAAGCGUUAAUCGGAAUUACUGGGCGUAAAGCGUGCGCAGGCGGUUAUGCAAGCCAGAUGUGAAAUCCCCGGGCUCAACCUGGGAACUGCAUUUGUGACUGCAUGGCUAGAGUACGGUAGAGGGGGAUGGAAUUCCGCGUGUAGCAGUGAAAUGCGUAGAUAUGCGGAGGAACACCGAUGGCGAAGGCAAUCCCCUGGACCUGUACUGACGCUCAUGCACGAAAGCGUGGGGAGCAAACAGG
RNAcentral lists this ribosomal RNA (253 nucleotides) under uncultured bacterium. RNAcentral's name for it is "partial 16S ribosomal RNA". It matches the Rfam family "Bacterial small subunit ribosomal RNA", at positions 524 to 776 of the family's 1533-position model. The record is from RNAcentral.